RNAcentral lists this ribosomal RNA (1524 nucleotides) under Salmonella enterica. Its description in RNAcentral is "bacterial LSU rRNA". It matches the Rfam family "Bacterial large subunit ribosomal RNA", at positions 711 to 2215 of the family's 2925-position model. Lineage: Bacteria; Pseudomonadati; Pseudomonadota; Gammaproteobacteria; Enterobacterales; Enterobacteriaceae. The record is from RNAcentral. RNAcentral also lists the same sequence under 1 other name.
AGACCCGAAACCCGGUGAUCUAGCCAUGGGCAGGUUGAAGGUUGGGUAACACUAACUGGAGGACCGAACCGACUAAUGUUGAAAAAUUAGCGGAUGACCUGUGGCUGGGGGUGAAAGGCCAAUCAAACCGGGAGAUAGCUGGUUCUCCCCGAAAGCUAUUUAGGUAGCGCCUCGUGAAUUCAUCUCCGGGGGUAGAGCACUGUUUCGGCUAGGGGGCCAUCCCGGCUUACCAACCCGAUGCAAACUGCGAAUACCGGAGAAUGUUAUCACGGGAGACACACGGCGGGUGCUAACGUCCGUCGUGAAGAGGGAAACAACCCAGACCGCCAGCUAAGGUCCCAAAGUCAUGGUUAAGUGGGAAACGAUGUGGGAAGGCCCAGACAGCCAGGAUGUUGGCUUAGAAGCAGCCAUCAUUUAAAGAAAGCGUAAUAGCUCACUGGUCGAGUCGGCCUGCGCGGAAGAUGUAACGGGGCUAAACCAUGCACCGAAGCUGCGGCAGCGACGCUGAUGCGUUGUUGGGUAGGGGAGCGUUCUGUAAGCCUGUGAAGGUGGCCUGUGAGGGUUGCUGGAGGUAUCAGAAGUGCGAAUGCUGACAUAAGUAACGAUAAAGCGGGUGAAAAGCCCGCUCGCCGGAAGACCAAGGGUUCCUGUCCAACGUUAAUCGGGGCAGGGUGAGUCGACCCCUAAGGCGAGGCCGAAAGGCGUAGUCGAUGGGAAACGGGUUAAUAUUCCCGUACUUGGUGUUACUGCGAAGGGGGGACGGAGAAGGCUAUGUUGGCCGGGCGACGGUUGUCCCGGUUUAAGCGUGUAGGUGUGUGUUCCAGGUAAAUCCGGUUCACUUUAACACUGAGGCGUGAUGACGAGGCACUACGGUGCUGAAGCAACAAAUGCCCUGCUUCCAGGAAAAGCCUCUAAGCAUCAGGUAACAUCAAAUCGUACCCCAAACCGACACAGGUGGUCAGGUAGAGAAUACCAAGGCGCUUGAGAGAACUCGGGUGAAGGAACUAGGCAAAAUGGUGCCGUAACUUCGGGAGAAGGCACGCUGACACGUAGGUGAAGUGAUUUACUCAUGGAGCUGAAGUCAGUCGAAGAUACCAGCUGGCUGCAACUGUUUAUUAAAAACACAGCACUGUGCAAACACGAAAGUGGACGUAUACGGUGUGACGCCUGCCCGGUGCCGGAAGGUUAAUUGAUGGGGUCAGCGCAAGCGAAGCUCCUGAUCGAAGCCCCGGUAAACGGCGGCCGUAACUAUAACGGUCCUAAGGUAGCGAAAUUCCUUGUCGGGUAAGUUCCGACCUGCACGAAUGGCGUAAUGAUGGCCAGGCUGUCUCCACCCGAGACUCAGUGAAAUUGAACUCGCUGUGAAGAUGCAGUGUACCCGCGGCAAGACGGAAAGACCCCGUGAACCUUUACUAUAGCUUGACACUGAACAUUGAGCCUUGAUGUGUAGGAUAGGUGGGAGGCUUUGAAGUGUGGACGCCAGUCUGCAUGGAGCCGGCCUUGAAAUACCACCCUUUAAUGUUU